Molecule: ribosomal RNA, 253 nt
Filed under: uncultured bacterium
Lineage: Bacteria
Description: partial 16S ribosomal RNA
Rfam family: Bacterial small subunit ribosomal RNA
Source: RNAcentral
UACGUAGGGGGCCAGCGUUGCUCGGAAUUACUGGGCGUAAAGGGUUCGUAGGCGGUGUGGCAAGUUGGGAGUGAAAUCUCUGGGCUCAACCCAGAGGCUGCUUCCAAAACUGCCAUGCUUGAGUGUGGGAGAGGCGCGUGGAAUUGCAGGUGUAGCGGUGACAUGCGUAGAUAUGUGCAGGAACACCAGUGGCGAAGGCGGCGCGCUGGACCACAACUGACGCUGAGGAACGAAAGCUAGGGGAGCAAACAGG